GAUGAACGCUGGCGGCGUGCCUAAUACAUGCAAGUAGAACGCUGAAGGAGGAGCUUGCUCUUCUGGAUGAGUUGCGAACGGGUGAGUAACGCGUAGGUAACCUGCCUGGUAGCGGGGGAUAACUAUUGGAAACGAUAGCUAAUACCGCAUGACAACAGUUAUUGCAUGAUAACUGUUUAAAAGGGGCAACUGCUCCACUACCAGAUGGACCUGCGUUGUAUUAGCUAGUUGGUGAGGUAACGGCUCACCAAGGCGACGAUACAUAGCCGACCUGAGAGGGUGAUCGGCCACACUGGGACUGAGACACGGCCCAGACUCCUACGGGAGGCAGCAGUAGGGAAUCUUCGGCAAUGGACGGAAGUCUGACCGAGCAACGCCGCGUGAGUGAAGAAGGUUUUCGGAUCGUAAAGCUCUGUUGUAAGAGAAGAACGAGUGUGAGAGUGGAAAGUUCCCACUGUGACGGUAUCUUACCAGAAAGGGACGGCUAACUACGUG
This 495-nucleotide ribosomal RNA is filed under the name uncultured bacterium. RNAcentral describes it as "partial 16S ribosomal RNA". It matches the Rfam family "Bacterial small subunit ribosomal RNA", at positions 28 to 507 of the family's 1533-position model. The record is from RNAcentral.